RNAcentral lists this ribosomal RNA (308 nucleotides) under uncultured bacterium. RNAcentral's name for it is "partial 16S ribosomal RNA". It matches the Rfam family "Bacterial small subunit ribosomal RNA", at positions 505 to 807 of the family's 1533-position model. The record is from RNAcentral.
GAGACAGCAGUCGCCACGGUAAUACGUAGGUGGCAAGUGUUGUCCGGAAUUAUUGGGCGUAAAGGGCUCGCAGGCGGUUUCUUAAGUCUGAUGUGAAAGCCCCCGGCUCAACCGGGGAGGGUCAUUGGAAACUGGGAAACUUGAGUGCAGAAGAGGAGAGUGGAAUUCCACGUGUAGCGGUGAAAUGCGUAGAGAUGUGGAGGAACACCAGUGGCGAAGGCGACUCUCUGGUCUGUAACUGACGCUGAGGAGCGAAAGCGUGGGGAGCGAACAGGAUUAGAUACCCCAGUAGUCCCUGUCUCUUAUAC